ACACCGGCAGCUCUAGUGGUAGCAGUUUUUAUUGGGCCUAAAGCGUCCGUAGCCGGUUUAAUAAGUCUCUGGUGAAAUCCUGUAGCUUAACUGUGGGAAUUGCUGGAGAUACUAUUAGACUUGAGACCGGGAGAGGUUAGAGGUACUCCCAGGGUAGAGGUGAAAUUCUGUAAUCCUGGGAGGACCGCCUGUUGCGAAGGCGUCUAACUGGAACGGUUCUGACGGUGAGGGACGAAAGUUAGGGGCGCGAACCGGAUUAGAUACCCGGGUAGUCCUAACCGUAAACGAUGCGGACUUGGUGUUGGGGUGGCUUUGAGCUGCUCCAGUGCCGAAGGGAAGCUGUUAAGUCCACCGCCUGGGAAGUACGGUCGCAAGACUGAAACUUAAAGGAAUUGGCGGGG
Molecule: ribosomal RNA, 401 nt
Filed under: uncultured bacterium
Lineage: Bacteria
Description: partial 16S ribosomal RNA
Rfam family: Archaeal small subunit ribosomal RNA
Source: RNAcentral